CCGAGAUUGGCUUGCCGUUAUGGAAUAAGACAGGUAUCUUCUUGUGAACUGGGUUGGAGUUGAGGAGAAGAUCGCUCUUGUUCAAAAGGUCUUCUUCCACAUAGUCGAACUGUAAGCCUUUCAGUUUGAGGACCAAUUCGAUCCUGCCGCUGAACGGACUAGCCCACAUUCCAAGUAGCUUGAUUUGGUCCCCCAUUUUUCUUGGAUCUCAGUACUACUAAUGAGGCCAUUCGCAUUAAAUGCCUUGGCUGACUGAGUACUGCGCAAGUAAAUCUGCAUCUGUCAUGGCUGACGCAAAUUAUUUUGAUUUGGUUUGUGGAGAAAGUCUUGGAUAUUGACGAGUUAAAAGACUCGAGAUUGUUCCGACGUCGAGAAACUCCUUUCAUUUCACCGGAAAGACUGAUCUUGAUGUCGAGAGUUCGAGGCUCUCUCACCUCAACGAUUACUUUCUUACAAUUUGCUACAUUCUUAUUUCUCACCCAGUUUAAGGAACAUGGCAUCGGCCAUACCAAAUUAAUGAGCGUCAUAUUACAAACAAUUAUAAUCUAUUAUUAAUAUAGAGUUCAUCGAUUAACACAAUUUUAAUUCAUUUUCGAAUUACCUUCUUCUCAAAUUAGUCAUCACCAAGUAGCCAAGUAGGGAGUUUUUUUUUACCAAAAUAAAAAAUGGGGUUUCUUAUCUUAUUCCUUUCAGCAUGUACUAAUAUUUGGAUAAAAGUUGUUGGUUUUGUUGAUUUAAUGCGUAUAGGUUGUCGAUGGGCUAAUCGGAUCAAACGGAUCAAAUGUUCUCUUAUAUAUUUAGCGGGUUUAUUUUUAUUUUUUUUUAUUGAUUGCAACAAAAUUAUCCCUCUCGUUUGUUAAAAUAACAAUUGAGUCCGGAUUUGGGAUUCCAUCUAAACAGCUGUUAACUCGGUCGACAUGGCAGAGCUGAAUCGACAACAUCGGUCCACGUGGCACUUUAUACCACUUAGCUAGCGGGCUAAUUAUGGAAUUGUUAGAGUAUACGAAACGUCUACCAAAAUCCUUACAUUUUCUUCAAUUUUGGUGACGGAUUUGGGUAAUGGUUCAUUCGGUUUAAAUGGGGAACCACUAGCUAAGUGGUACAAAGUGCCAUGUUGACCAAUGUUGCUGACUCAUCUCUGCCACGUCGACCAAACUAACGUCCGUUUAGACGGGUGGCCAAAUUCGGACUUAAUUGUUAUUUCAACAAACGAGAGGAACAGUUUUGUUGCAAUCGAUACGAACGAGACUAAAAUGAACCCGCUAGAUAUAUAAGAGACAAUUUAGCCUGAUUAACCGUUGUUGACGAGCAGAGUUGAGCUUCAUCAAAUUUAAGUUGCGCUUGUAGUAUUUUUAACGACCUCCAACAUCAGAUUUAUGAAAAAAUCACAAAUAAAGCAUAAUCUAGCCGUAAAAUAUAUGAUUUGCCCGAUAAUAUCGACAGAACUUGACUCAAUUUUCAAAUGAACUUAACAGAAUAGGAUCAACUUUGACAUUAACCGUUAGAAUUCACGUAAAAUACGAUGGCAUGGAGAAAUGCUUUUCUGCCACGUAGGACUCCACGUCAGCAAAAAAAAACAUUUCUGCGGCUGUAGAAACUGGCCCAGGUUCCAAGUAGCUUGAUUUCCUCUGCCAUUUUCUCUUGAUUUUUCUCAUCCGUGGAGCAAAGAAGCCUAUACACGUGCAGGAGUCGAAGUUCAGUGCAUUGGAGCUAAAUGGGGAAACGUCAUGGCUGACAUCACAGAUCUUAUGGGACCUCUUAUCUAGAUAUUCUACCUUAUGCUGUGCGACAUCAAUAAUGCCAAUCACACUACAACUCUGAAACCGACCCGAAUUGCUUCGAUCUGGUUCAGGCAAAUCGUCGAGCACAUCGUGUGCACAAGUUAAGAAAUCCUAACAGAGAAAUCGGAAUCAAAACCACGCAACUCAGCAAUUUCUCAUUCGCAAAGCCAACAUAAUCUUUAUCACAAGAUUAAGCUACAAUAGGAAGGUAUUACACUGGCGAUGGUGGUGUCCUAACUUUUAAUUAAGCUGAUUUUGCUUUGGAAGCAGCAGCUUCCAAAAGGAAGGCACGAACAGAUCGGACGUAAUCAAGAUACUUAUCCCUCGGCGGCAGGCAUCCAAUCACAACGUCGUGGUCUUGGAGCUUCUCCAUCCAUUUAAACAAUACAGGGAACUUCUCUUUGGUCAACACAUCUGCUCCCGAAACUUCCUCCAACGCUCCAAGCCCGUUCAAGAUGUAGAACGCGGCAAUGUCCACAAAUCCGAUCCUUUCCCCUCCGAAAUAUUCCUUUCCCUUCAGCUCCCCCUCCAGAUACCUCACUUGCUGGGUGAAUUCCUCAAUCCCGUCCUCUUGUUCUUUGUCCCCCUUCCCUAUGAAUGCCUUGAACGACGUCUCCAACACCUGCAAAAAGCAUUAUUCCGUUAGUUAGAAAUCGCCAGAUAAUGAACGAGGAAGAGAGACGACACAAAUGAUUUGGAUUUUUCUUACUUUUUCGUCAACGAACUUGGCCCAGAAGCGAGCAACGGCUCUGUCGUAGGGAUCUUGAGGCAGGAUUGAGUAGCUUGAUGAUCCCCAAGUAUCGUCGAUGUACUCGAUGAUGACGAGGGAUUCCGAGAUUGGCUUGCCGUUGUGGAACAAGACAGGGACCUUGUUGUGAACUGGGUUGGAGUUGAGGAGGAGAUCGCUCUUGUUGGCAAGGUUUUCU
RNAcentral lists this long non-coding RNA (2707 nucleotides) under Linum usitatissimum (flax). RNAcentral's name for it is "long non-coding RNA (LUSI_LNC004640)". The record is from RNAcentral. Lineage: Eukaryota; Viridiplantae; Streptophyta; Magnoliopsida; Malpighiales; Linaceae.